Zootermopsis nevadensis is the source of this 3109-nucleotide long non-coding RNA. RefSeq lists it as uncharacterized. NCBI's taxonomy places the organism in Eukaryota, Metazoa, Arthropoda, Insecta, Blattodea, Termopsidae. The record is from RefSeq and is a predicted model, not a curated record.
ACCGCUAGACCAUUGCAGAGAAAUGAGAUAAUUGCUUACAUUAUCAAUAUUUCUUGAAAAAACAUUAUCGUGGGCCUGGCAUGAUCAUUCGAUACGUAUUGUUUAAUACCAUGGGAAAAAUUGUUAUCCCUAAACCCGAGAAUAAUUGUCUUUACAGUGCCAUCUACACUCAAAGAUAAGUCAGGAUUUGACACAUCUCCUCUGCAUGAAUACAAAUAGCAGAUGGGCCCGACCUUACUAAAUCUGUUGUAUUUUGAAGUGUGUUAUUACAGCUGCAGGCUGUGAAAACUGGUUGAGUACGAGAAUAUGUUUCAAUGAGAAUAAUGAAUUCUUCUCGGACUACCAAACGUGUAAAGUGGUUUAAUGGUAUCCCGAGAAGAAUUCUUUAUACUUGGUAGCCGUGAAAGCUUCAGAUCAUAUGUGUUUGAAUGAGAAUUGACAUUUAAAAUUUUUUAAGAAUGGGUUUUAACAUAAGGGAUAUUUUAUCAGUCAUUCUUGAGAAUGCGAAUGUACGUUCUGAUGACAGAAUCAGAACUUCUUUAUAAUAAUUUUAAUGGGACCCACAGAUAACUGUCCUUUUUGUUGAAAAAUAACAUUCAACCGAUCGAAUACCAGUAGGUUUCCAUUUUAUCAUCUAGAAAAGGAACUAUUAAAAAUCUUCUGUAAAUCAAAUCGUAUGGCCGGGAAUCCCUUAACAGGAGUACCAUGGCAACGGUACAACACGCAAAAGAAUUAUUAUCCCACAAGAUAAAAAACUGCUUAGCAACGUUACCUUGGCAACUGCAAUAACAACAGCACAAACAAACGGACAUUGCUCAUUAUAUUGUGUAGAUUAUCAUCCCAUCCUUUUAACGAUCGUCCGCUGAGUCUUGGGUUCAAUUCUCUGUUUGGAGACCUGUUAACCUGAUUGAGACUCCUCAGUACCUCCAGAUUUUGUAGAUGUCUGGCAGCGAGCUAGCGACUAGGAUUGCGGUCUAUAAACAUGCAAACGGCUUCUCAUCCGUCGUGAAACGUUUUGAAACAGCUGAUACGAGUGAAGGCCUCUGGCCCCUUUAAGAGAACCACGCGAAGUGAAGUGAAUAAUGUUUCUGAGAUUCUCCGUUUUUAACAAGAAAUGCAGCGCCCGCGGGACGAUCUGUAUGCAACAGGUGCGUGGCGUCUGUUUGGGAGUGAAAGAGACGCCCUGCAGUGUUCGGUCGCGUUCCCAGGUGUAGCAAAUACAAACGCGCAGUUAACACAAUCAUAGUGUUUUCUGUGAUGUUGGCACGAGUGUUGACACCCCACCUCUUCUCCGCCCCCUCCACCACUACCACGUGGCUUUCGUGUUUCGUAUACAGUUUCGUUACUAUGACAACAGCUUCGUUACUCCAAGGAUGUGUCGGUUGCGAGUAAGAGUGAUCUAAGGCACCAUUAAUCGAAUGAGUGGUCGGUGUUAUGGCUUAAUUCGACGUUUAACGAAACUAAGACUUCUUCGCUUUUACGUAUGAAGUUAAGUGCGCUCUAUCCGUUUUCUCGCAUUGGAUUUUAAUGUAAUUGUUUCUUGUGAUUACUUUAAUAAUGUACAGAUUUUUUUUAUAACCUCAAGAUGUGUAUGAUCGCGAUGUUAUAAAUUUAUUCUUCUAAAAGAAUAACAUUAACUGUAGUUAUGUUCAUUAUCUGCCACAUUGCCAGAUUUCAAAUGUUUAUCUUUAAUAGUUCGUUAUUUAUAUCCAUAAAAAGGAAAACCAAUAGUAUGCAGCCAAAACCCCUACAACUUAUUUUCCUUUUAGAUUUUAAUAUUAUCAUGCCAUCCAUGCUUAGGUUUUACAAGUGGUCUAAUUCUUUAAAAUUUCUGACUAAAAUUUUGAAACCGUUUAUUAUUUAACGCAUGUGUUCUGCGUGUCCCUCUUGUCUUCCUAUUGAUUUGAUCUUUCUAAUAUGCCUUUAGUAGCCGUCACGAAAUUGCGUGCUUCAAGGCCACGGAAGGCCCGCAGUCCUCCUUGCUUUCAGGCAGCAAGCAGUACAUCUGUACGUCAUAAAGGGACAUGGAUAUUGGUCGUCCGCUCUUUCUAUACCUCAGCACCAGACGGAGUUGAGUGAUCCUGGGAGGACCGGACUGGACGUGGUGGCGUAGAAACACCUUCCUGGCAGUGUUGGGAAUCGAAUCCUGAUCGUCCAGCGUCUUUACUGAGUUAUUAAAAGAACUCAGUGAAGCACAAAUAGUCACUCUUAUCAAAUCAAGGCAUUUUCCGCCUUAUAUGGAACCUGUGACGCCUAUCUUGAGCCAUCCGGUGAGGUGAGACCUGACCAAUCCCCAGCUUGAAGACUGUCCCUUAUCAGCUGUCCGUAUUAUCUCAUGUACGUUCUGCAUCUGCGAUCUGCCGUGGUGACAAGAGACCGCCAUAACAUUAACUGAGUUAUCACGGUUUGUCAAAUUAAAUAGGUACCGUCUUUAAAACGUUUGAGUUGAAGCUGGACAUUUAUUACCAGGUACCGAGGUCUAGAAUGAGUGGAGCUUUAAGUCUACAUUUCUCUGUCUUCAUGUCAUGGUGCUUAAGCUCGAGGGUUGCUUUAUCCGUAAUGCGAAGCUAAUAAAAUAAAAGUGGCCUCUUGUGAAAUGGAUUGGAUCUAUUUGUCACGCGGUGGCCGACCUCUACUGCUGUAGUCAGUCUAUAAUAAAAUAUAAAUGGACUCAAAUUAUUACGAGUUUCCCCAAGGGCUUGGAAUAUUACAAAAUGGAAGGGUUCAGAGACAUUUCUUUUACGUGUUAAUUUAUCACUUUUCGUUGGAACGCGAUGUCAUUCUUUUUGUUACGUUGUGUUCUACACUGCUUAGACUUUGCGGAUGUCCUUGUGCGAUUUGAGGUUAUCGUGGCGGUGAAUGUUCCGGUCUUCUGGGACCUUAAGCCCUGAAUAUGUAGACAGUAUGUAUUUCGGAAACGUUGGUAUCUACGUAUAAGCCCAUACGACGUUGCAACUCAGAAGACUAGCUUCGACUGUGUUAGUGAAUUCUAGUAGCUGUUGAAACGAUUUUAACCGUGUUUUAGAGUCUCUUCGGCACGGGUAUGUCGAUUGCCGAUUGUCGAUUUUAUUGGGCAUAUGUGACGUGUACAACCCCUCUGAAAUUUAUU